GGGAAAGAAUUUCGGUGAAAGAUCGGCCCGCGUUAGAUUAGAUUGUUGGUGGGGUAAUGGCCUACCAAGUCUACGAUCUAUAGCUGGUUUCAGAGGAUGAUCAGCAACACUGGGACUGAGACACGGGCCAGACUCCUACAGGAGGCAGCAGUGAGGAAUAUUGGUCAAUGGGUGAGAGCCUGAACCAGCCAUGCCGCGUGAAGGAAGACUGCCCUAUGGGUUGUAAACUUCUUUUCUGCAGGAAGAAAUCACUCUACGUGUAGGGUGUUGCCGGUACUGCAGGAAUAAGCAUCGGCUAACUCCGUGCCAGCAGCCGCGGUAAUACGGAGGAUGCAAGCGUUAUCCGGAUUUAUUGGGUUUAAAGGGUGCGUAGGCGGGCUUGUAAGUCAGUGGUGAAAUGCUGUGGCUUAACCAUAGAAUUGCCAUUGAAACUGCAAGUCUUGAGUACAGUUGAGGUGGGCGGAAUGAGUAAUGUAGCGGUGAAAUGCAUAGAUAUUACUCAGAACUCCGAUUGCGUAGGCAGCUUGCUAAACUGUAACUGACGCUGAUGCACGAAAGCGUGGGGAGCGAACAGGAUUAGAUACCCUGGUAGUCCACGCUGUAAACGAUGAGCACUGGUUGUUGGCAAUACACCGUCAGCGACUGAGCGAAAGUAUUAAGUGCUCCACCUGGGGAGUACGUCGGCAACGAUGAAACUCAAAGGAAUUGACGGGGGCCCGCACAAGCGGAGGAACAUGUGGUUUAAUUCGAUGAUACGCGAGGAACCUUACCUGGGCUUAAAUGUAGAGUGCAUUGCUUGGAAACAGGCAUUUUCUUCGGAACUCUUUACAAGGUGCUGCAUGGUUGUCGUCAGCUCGUGCCGUGAGGUGUCGGGUUAAGUCCCAUAACGAGCGCAACCCCUAUUGUUAGUUACCAGCACGUAAUGGUGGGGACUCUAGCAAGACUGCCGGUGUAAACCGUGAGGAAGGUGGGGAUGACGUCAAAUCAGCACGGCCCUUAUGUCCAGGGCUACACACGUGUUACAAUGGCAAGUACAAAGAGCAGCCACCUGGCGACAGGGCGCUAAUCUCAAAAGC
This 1076-nucleotide ribosomal RNA is filed under the name uncultured organism. RNAcentral's name for it is "bacterial SSU rRNA". It matches the Rfam family "Bacterial small subunit ribosomal RNA", at positions 200 to 1282 of the family's 1533-position model. The record is from RNAcentral.